RNAcentral lists this small RNA (119 nucleotides) under Actinopolymorpha rutila. RNAcentral describes it as "sRNA Ms_IGR-7". It matches the Rfam family "Actinobacteria sRNA Ms_IGR-7". Lineage: Bacteria; Bacillati; Actinomycetota; Actinomycetes; Propionibacteriales; Actinopolymorphaceae. The record is from RNAcentral.
CAGAGAUGCCCUUCGUGAUGGGCCACGAUCGUUCCUUCGACAAGACCGAUCAUCCCAACACGCAAGGGCAUUCUCGCGUCACGACCCGCUCACCACACCCCACCCAUCGGUGGAUCCGG